GAUGAACGCUGGCGGCGUGCCUAAUACAUGCAAGUCGAACGAGGUGCUUUUGUAGCAAUCCGCGAGUAUCCUAGUGGCGAACGGGUGAGUAACGCGUUGGUGACCUACCCCAACGUGUGGAAUAACAGUCCGAAAGGAUUGCUAAUACCGCAUGUGGUUAUCGGGUUUAGAAACUGAUAACUAAAGGAGCAAUUCGCUUUGGGAGGGACCUGCGUCCCAUCAGCUAGUUGGUGAGGUAAUGGCUCACCAAGGCUACGACGGGUAGGGGACCUGAGAGGGUGACCCCCCACAAUGGAACUGAAACACGGUCCAUACACCUACGGGUGGCAGCAGUAGGGAAUAUUGCACAAUGGGCGAAAGCCUGAUGCAGCAACGCCGCGUGCACGAUGAAGGCCUUCGGGUCGUAAAGUGCUUUUCUGGGAGAUGAGAAAGGACAGUAUCCCAGGAAUAAGUCUCGGCUAACUACGUG
This 469-nucleotide ribosomal RNA is filed under the name uncultured bacterium. RNAcentral's name for it is "partial 16S ribosomal RNA". It matches the Rfam family "Bacterial small subunit ribosomal RNA", at positions 28 to 507 of the family's 1533-position model. The record is from RNAcentral.